CGUGGAUAAUAAACGGGCAUCAAGUAUACCACCGAAGUUCUGGGCACGAAAGUGCGGUAGGGGAGCAUUCCAUUCCGCGUUGAAGCCGAACCGUGAGGUUUGGUGGAGUGUAUGGAAAAGCAAAUGUAGGCAUGAGUAACGAUAAUGCGGGAGAGUAACCCGCACACCGCAAGACCAAGGUUUCCUGAUCAACGCUAAUCGGAUCAGGGUUAGUCGGGUCCUAAGGGUAAGCCGAACGGCGAUCUCGAUGGAUAAUCGGUUAAUAUUCCGAUACUAACAUAUACCUCGAUGGAGAGACGAAGGAACGUAAGUGCCGCCACCUGACGGAAUAGGUGGUUAAAGGGCGUAGGUAUAGGGGCAGAUUAAGAGUUAGUCCUUGCUGAAACCUGACAGUACAGAGAGCCUACGGGCAAUUUGAUAGAGCACCCAAGUCGACUUCCGAGAAAAUCUUCUAAGUUAUAGUAUAUGUUACCCGUACCGUAAACCGACACAGGUGGUCGAGGAGAGUAUCCUAAGGUGCUCGAGUGAAUCACGGUUAAGGAACUAGGCAAAUUAACCCCGUAACUUCGGGAAAAGGGGUCCCUAUGAAAGUAGGGCGCAGCGAAGAGGUCCAGGCGACUGUUUAUCAAAAACACAGGGCUCUGCAAAUUCGAAAGAAGACGUAUAGGGCCUGACACCUGCCCGGUGCUGGAAGGUUAAGAGGGGAUGUCAUCGCAAGAGAAGCAUUGAAUCGAAGCCCCAGUAAACGGCGGCCGUAACUAUAACGGUCCUAAGGUAGCGAAAUUCCUUGUCGGGUAAGUUCCGACCUGCACGAAUGGUGUAACGAUCUGGACACUGUCUCAACCGUGAGCUCGGUGAAAUUGUAGUCCCGGUGAUGAUGCCGGGUACCCGCAACGGGACGAAAAGACCCCGUGAACCUUUACUAUAGCUUAACGCUGAAUUUGGGUACACAAUGUGUAGGAUAGGCCGGAGGCUUUGAAGCGGGCACGCCAGUGUUCGUGGAGCCGACGUUGAAAUACGGCCCUUUGUGUAUUUGAGUUCUAACCCUGCGAAGGGGACACCGUUUGGUGGGUAGUUUGACUGGGGUGGUCGCCUCCAAAAGCGUAACGGAGGCUUCCCAAGGUACCCUCAGCACGAAUGGUAACCGUGCGCGGAGUGCAAUAGCAUAAGGGUGCUUGACUGUGAGACAUACAAGUCGACCAGGUACGAAAGUAGGGUAUAGUGAUCCGGUGGUUCUGCGUGGACUGGCCAUCGCUCAAAGGAUAAAAGGUACUCCGGGGAUAACAGGCUGAUCGCCGCCAAGAGCUCAUAUCGACGCGGCGGUUUGGCACCUCGAUGUCGGCUCGUCACAUCCUGGGGCUGGAGAAGGUCCCAAG
Molecule: ribosomal RNA, 1376 nt
Filed under: human gut metagenome
Description: bacterial LSU rRNA
Rfam family: Bacterial large subunit ribosomal RNA
Source: RNAcentral